CCCAGUUGUAGGCAACUCUAGGUUACACUGUACCUAGGCAAGUAUUCCACUGCUGGGACAAAAGCAGCCAAUAGCUGCCAGGCAUUCUGCACCUGGUUAAUGCCAACUUU
This 110-nucleotide small nucleolar RNA is filed under the name Ochotona princeps (American pika). Its description in RNAcentral is "Small nucleolar RNA SNORA74 (ENSOPRG00000023008.1)". The record is from RNAcentral. Lineage: Eukaryota; Metazoa; Chordata; Mammalia; Lagomorpha; Ochotonidae.